AACCAUUCUCACCUGCGGCUAGACCUGCGGAGGGAUCAUUACAGAGUUGCAAAACUCCCUAAACCAUUGUGAACCUACCUUCUACCGUUGCUUCGGCGGGCGGGCCUAGCGCCCCCCCGGCCCCCCGCGGGCGCCCGCCGGAGGAUAACCAAACUCUUGACAUCAGUGGCCUCUCUGAGUAUUCUUUACUGAAUAAGUCAAAACUUUUAACAACGGAUCU
This 220-nucleotide unclassified non-coding RNA is filed under the name soil metagenome. Its description in RNAcentral is "partial contains 5.8S ribosomal RNA, internal transcribed spacer 2, and large subunit ribosomal RNA". The record is from RNAcentral.